Molecule: ribosomal RNA, 597 nt
Filed under: Cristatella mucedo
Lineage: Eukaryota; Metazoa; Bryozoa; Phylactolaemata; Cristatellidae
Description: partial 12S ribosomal RNA
Rfam family: Microsporidia small subunit ribosomal RNA
Source: RNAcentral
UGCCAGCAGAAGCGGUUAAACGAGUAAGCUCGAAGCUUGAUCAUCGGUAUAAAAGAUGGUUAUGUGUUACCAUGGGAGAUAAAAGAGGGCACUACAGUAAAAUGGAAACCCUUUUCCCCCACUCUCCCUGCUUGCAGAACCCAUGAAACUUUUAAGAGAAACUGGGAUUAGAGACCCCAUUAUCUAAAAGCUUAAACAAUUCUCUACCUGGGUAUUACGAACCUUGUUUAAAACCCAAAGAGCCUGGCGGCCUUCAACAGUACUAGGGGAACCUGUUAGGUAAUCGAUACUCCACGUUGAUCUUUACCUUCUCUUGAAAGUAUCAGCCUGUAUACCUCCGUCAUCACUCACCUUAAGAGUUCAAUAGUGAGUAGAAAGUAGAGUCACUACUUCAUGGCAGGUCAAGGUGCAGCUUAUGAGAAGGAUCUCAAUGGGUUACAUUUCGAUAGAAGAUAAUGGAUUGAUCCUGGAAACAGAGUCAUGAAAGUGGACUUAGUAGUAAGGGGUUCUUUAACAUAAACCCCUGAAAGACUCCCUAGGAGGUGCACAAAUCGCCCGUCACUCUCCUCGAAAGAGGAGAWAAGUCGUAACACAGUA